AGAAUCAACGCUGGCGGCGUGCCUAACACAUGCAAGUCGAACGAGAAAGGGGUAGCAAUACCCUGAGUAAAGUGGCGCACGGGUGAGUAACACGUGACUAACCUACCCUUGAGUGGGGGAUAACUGAGGGAAACCUUAGCUAAUACCGCAUAAUACCCACGGGUCAAAGGAGCAAUUCGCUCGAGGAGGGGGUCGCGGCCGAUUAGUUAGUUGGCGGGGUAAUGGCCCACCAAGACGAUGAUCGGUAUCCGGCCUGAGAGGGCGCACGGACACACUGGAACUGAAACACGGUCCAGACUCCUACGGGAGGCAGCAGUGGGAAUUUGCGCAAUGGGGGAAACCCUGACGCAGCAACGCCGCGUGGAGGAUGAAGUCCUUCGGGACGUAAACUCCUUUCGAUCGGGACGAUUAUGACGGUACCGGAAGAAGAACGCCCCGGCUAACUUCGCGCCAGCAGCCGC
RNAcentral lists this ribosomal RNA (461 nucleotides) under uncultured bacterium. Its description in RNAcentral is "SSU rRNA". It matches the Rfam family "Bacterial small subunit ribosomal RNA", at positions 26 to 518 of the family's 1533-position model. The record is from RNAcentral.